Amblyraja radiata (thorny skate) is the source of this 402-nucleotide long non-coding RNA. RefSeq lists it as uncharacterized. The record is from RefSeq and is a predicted model, not a curated record. The transcript is spliced from 3 exons. Lineage: Eukaryota; Metazoa; Chordata; Chondrichthyes; Rajiformes; Rajidae.
CGGUGGAGGCCGAGGAGAGAGAUCUGGUUCAUCGCGACUGGAAACUCCAGCUGCCCCAUCCCAUGAGCCAGGCGCGGGCGGACUCACGGGCGGAGAAUCACGGCUUCGCUUCACGCUACGCCCGCUUUCCCUCGCUGCUAAACUGCUCCCAGACGCCGGCUCUCCGCCACCAUCGUCUGUCGGCUGUCCUCCCCACAACAUCGAGCGCCGGCUCUCCGUGCAACAUCUCCUGCCCGGAUAUCUCCCAGUGGCUGCGCUGUGACCCAGAACAUCAGACCCAGACAGAGAGAAGGUGCGGAGCCACGAGAAGACCCAAGCCAUCACUGCCCACCUCCAGUCUGGUGGCACCCCGAGUGACACUAUGCAAGAGGAGAGGUCUACCCGCCCCAGGGCCAACAAACG